CCUACGGGGUGCAGCAGUGGGGAAUAUUGGACAAUGGGGGCAACCCUGAUCCAGCCAUGCCGCGUGUGUGAAGAAGGCCCUCGGGUUGUAAAGCACUUUCAGUGAGGAAGAACGCCUGGUGGUUAAUACCCAUCAGGAAAGACAUCACUCACAGAAGAAGCACCGGCUAACUCCGUGCCAGCAGCCGCGGAAAUACGGAGGGUGCGAGCGUUAAUCGGAAUUACUGGGCGUAAAGCGCGCGUAGGUGGCUUGAUAAGCCGGUUGUGAAAGCCCCGGGCUCAACCUGGGAACGGCAUCCGGAACUGUCAAGCUAGAGUGCAGGAGAGGAAGGUAGAAUUCCCGGUGUAGCGGUGAAAUGCGUAGAGAUCGGGAGGAAUACCAGUGGCGAAGGCGGCCUUCUGGACUGACACUGACACUGAGGUGCGAAAGCGUGGGUAGCAAACAGGAUUAGAUACCCGGUAGUC
RNAcentral lists this ribosomal RNA (464 nucleotides) under Vreelandella stevensii. Its description in RNAcentral is "partial 16S ribosomal RNA". It matches the Rfam family "Bacterial small subunit ribosomal RNA", at positions 338 to 795 of the family's 1533-position model. The record is from RNAcentral. Lineage: Bacteria; Pseudomonadati; Pseudomonadota; Gammaproteobacteria; Oceanospirillales; Halomonadaceae.